Molecule: non-coding RNA, 118 nt
Organism: Aedes aegypti (yellow fever mosquito)
Lineage: Eukaryota; Metazoa; Arthropoda; Insecta; Diptera; Culicidae
Source: Rfam
UGCCCAGCAACUCCUAUCCCUACCUCAUCGUGGUACUGGCCGGGAUACGAGUAACCUUGGGGAAGAUCGGGUAACCAACCCCGGUGGGAACUUUGGUCGUAUGCUGACAGGGAAAAGG